AUUGAACGCUGGCGGCAGGCCUAACACAUGCAAGUCGAGCGGAUGAAGGGAGCUUGCUCCUGGAUUCAGCGGCGGACGGGUGAGUAAUGCCUAGGAAUCUGCCUGGUAGUGGGGGAUAACGUCCGGAAACGGGCGCUAAUACCGCAUACGUCCUGAGGGAGAAAGUGGGGGAUCUUCGGACCUCACGCUAUCAGAUGAGCCUAGGUCGGAUUAGCUAGUUGGUGGGGUAAAGGCCUACCAAGGCGACGAUCCGUAACUGGUCUGAGAGGAUGAUCAGUCACCCUGGAACUGAGACACGGUCCAGACUCCUACGGGAGGCAGCAGUGGGGAAUAUUGGACGAUGGGCGAAAGCCUGAUCCAGCCAUGCCGCGUGUGUGAAGAAGGUCUUCGGAUUGUAAAACACUUUAAGUUGGGAGGAAGGGCAGUAAGUUAAUACCUUGCUGUUUUGACGUUACCAACAGAAUAAGCACCGGCUAACUUCGUG
RNAcentral lists this ribosomal RNA (484 nucleotides) under uncultured bacterium. Its description in RNAcentral is "partial 16S ribosomal RNA". It matches the Rfam family "Bacterial small subunit ribosomal RNA", at positions 30 to 507 of the family's 1533-position model. The record is from RNAcentral.